This 153-nucleotide ribosomal RNA is filed under the name uncultured bacterium. RNAcentral's name for it is "partial 16S ribosomal RNA". It matches the Rfam family "Bacterial small subunit ribosomal RNA", at positions 382 to 539 of the family's 1533-position model. The record is from RNAcentral.
CCUGAUCCAGCCAUGCCGCGUGUGUGAAGAAGGCCUUCGGGUUGUAAAGCUCUUUCACCAGGGAUGAUAAUGACGGUACCAGGUAAAGAAACCCCGGCUAAUUCCGUGCCAACAACCGCGGUAUUACACCGUGCCAGCAGCCGCGGUAAUACA